Sinocyclocheilus rhinocerous is the source of this 272-nucleotide long non-coding RNA. RefSeq lists it as uncharacterized. Lineage: Eukaryota; Metazoa; Chordata; Actinopteri; Cypriniformes; Cyprinidae. The record is from RefSeq and is a predicted model, not a curated record. The transcript is spliced from 3 exons.
UUUUUAUGUAGUUGUUGUGUGUGUUUUAGAGAGGAGGGCUACAUCCCGAGCAACUACGUGACUGAGAAGGAGUCAGACACGCUGGAGCAGUUCAUAUGGUUUUGUAAAAAUGUCAAUCGCAACAAAGCUGAAGAGCAGCUCAGGAAAGAGGCGAAAGACGGUGGAUUUAUGGUUCGAGUGUCCAGCAAUACAGGGACGUACACUGUGUCACUGUACACCAGGAAUACAGCGUGAGACACACACACACACUCUCUCUCUCACACACACACACA